RNAcentral lists this ribosomal RNA (586 nucleotides) under uncultured bacterium. RNAcentral's name for it is "partial 16S ribosomal RNA". It matches the Rfam family "Bacterial small subunit ribosomal RNA", at positions 355 to 1375 of the family's 1533-position model. The record is from RNAcentral.
UGGGGAAUUUUGGACAAUGGGCGAAAGCCUGAUCCAGCAAUGCCGCGUGUCGAUGAAGGCAGCUUCGGGUUGUAAAGCACUUUUGUCCGGAAAGAAAUCCUUGGCUCUAAUACAGUCGGGGGAUGACGGUACCGGAAGAAUAAGCACCGGCUAACUACGUGCCAGCAGCCGCGGUAAUACGUAGGGUGCAAGCGUUAAUCGGAAUUACUGGGCGUAAAGCGUGCGCAGGCGGUUUGCUAAGACCGAUGUGAAAUCCCCGGGCUCAACCUGGGAACUGCAUUGGUGACUGGCAGGCUAGAGUAUGGCAGAGGGGGGUAGAAUUCCACGUGUAGCAGUGAAAUGCGUAGAGAUGUGGAGGAAUACCGAUGGCGAAGGCAGCCCCCUGGGCCAAUACUGACGCUCAUGCACGAAAGCGUGGGGAGCAAACAGGAUUAGAUACCCUGGUAGUCCACGCCCUAAACGAUGUCAACUAGUUGUUGGGGAUUCAUUUCCUUAGUAACGUAGCUAACGCGUGAAGUUGACCGCCUGGGGAGUACGGUCGCAAGAUUAAAACUUAAAUGAAUUGACGGGGUCAUAGCUGUUUCCU